RNAcentral lists this long non-coding RNA (373 nucleotides) under Salvator merianae (Argentine black and white tegu). RNAcentral's name for it is "lncRNA (ENSSMRG00000002925.1)". Lineage: Eukaryota; Metazoa; Chordata; Lepidosauria; Squamata; Teiidae. The record is from RNAcentral.
GCCUUGUUCUCUGGUGGAGGUGAACUUCAGUUGAACCUCCAGCCAUGAAGCUCCUUCACCUUGUCUUUGCAUUUCUCUGUCUGAUGAUGCUGGUUGUUCCAGGUUUUUCUGAAAUAAGUAACGCCAAUCAAUGCAGUGCCGCCGGGGGGAGAUGUAUCAGCCGCGGAUGUCCAAGGGGUUUCACAUGGAUUGGAAGAUGUGCAAGGAGACGUCCUUGCUGCAGGUGAGAAAGGAGGAAUAUGUGACCACGCCGCAUCACUGACAUCCUCUGCUGUGAAAUUCCGAUGGAUUAUAAAUUUGGAAAUCUUACGGGGCAGAGAGAUGUGAUUAACUGGUGCCUGAAUAAAAGGAAGUUGCAGUGUAAAUUUGUGCA